RNAcentral lists this ribosomal RNA (253 nucleotides) under uncultured bacterium. RNAcentral's name for it is "partial 16S ribosomal RNA". It matches the Rfam family "Bacterial small subunit ribosomal RNA", at positions 524 to 776 of the family's 1533-position model. The record is from RNAcentral.
GACGUAGGGCGCGAGCGUUGUCCGGAAUUAUUGGGCGUAAAGAGCUCGUAGGCGGUCUGUCGCGUCGGCUGUGAAAACCUGGGGCUUAACUCCGGGCCUGCAGCCGAUACGGGCAGACUAGAGUUCGGCAGGGGAGACUGGAAUUCCUGGUGUAGCGGUGAAAUGCGCAGAUAUCAGGAGGAACACCGGUGGCGAAGGCGGGUCUCUGGGCCGAUACUGACGCUGAGGAGCGAAAGCGUGGGGAGCAAACGGG